UACGGGGGGGGCAAGCGUUGUUCGGAAUUACUGGGCGUAAAGGGCUGGUAGGCGGCCAACUAAGUCGGAUGUGAAAUCCCCAGGCUUAACCUGGGAACUGCAUCCGAUACUGGUCGGCUUGAAUCCGGGAGAGGGAUGCAGAAUUCCAGGUGUAGCGGUGAAAUGCGCAGAUAUCGGGAAGAACACCUAUGGCGAAGGCAGCUCUCUGGGACGGUACUGACGCUGAGACGCGAAAGCGUGGGGAGCGAACAGG
Molecule: ribosomal RNA, 253 nt
Filed under: uncultured bacterium
Lineage: Bacteria
Description: partial 16S ribosomal RNA
Rfam family: Bacterial small subunit ribosomal RNA
Source: RNAcentral